UACAGAGGUCCCAAGCGUUGUUCGGAUUCACUGGGCGUAAAGGGUGCGUAGGCGGUCGGGUAAGUCUGAUGUGAAGUCUCACAGCUUAACUGUGAAACUGCAUUGGAUACUAUCCGGCUAGAGGAAUGGAGGGGAGACUGGAAUACUUGGUGUAGCAGUGAAAUGCGUAGAUAUCAAGUGGAACACCAGUGGCGAAGGCGAGUCUCUGGACAUUUCCUGACGCUGAGGCACGAAAGCCAGGGGAGCAAACGGG
RNAcentral lists this ribosomal RNA (253 nucleotides) under uncultured bacterium. RNAcentral describes it as "partial 16S ribosomal RNA". It matches the Rfam family "Bacterial small subunit ribosomal RNA", at positions 524 to 776 of the family's 1533-position model. The record is from RNAcentral.